CCUACGGGAGGCAGCAGUGAGGAAUUUUCCGCAAUGGGCGAAAGCCUGACGGAGCAAUACCGCGUGAGGGAUGAAGGAUUUUGGUCUGUAAACCUCUUUUCUCAAGAAAGAAGUUCUGACGGUACUUGAGGAAUAAGCAUCGGCUAACUCCGUGCCAGCAGCCGCGGUAAUACGGGGGAUGCAAGCGUUAUCCGGAAUGAUUGGGCGUAAAGCGCCUGUAGGUUGUUUAUUAAGUCCGUUGUUAAAGCCUAGGGCUUAACCCUAGAAAAGCAAUGGAAACUAGUAGACUAGAGUAUGGCAGGGGUAGAGGGAAUUUCUAGUGUAGCGGUGAAAUGCGUAGAUAUUAGAAAGAACACCGGUGGCGAAAGCGCUCUACUGGACCAUUACUGACACUCAGAGGCGAAAGCUAGGGUAGCAAAAGGGAUUAGAUACCCCUGUAGUCCUAGCCGUAAACGAUGGAUACUAGAUGUUGUGCAUUAUGUACAGUAUCGUAGCUAACGCGUUAAGUAUCCCGCCUGGGGAGUACGCUCGCAAGGGUGAAACUCAAAGAUAGUACGACGUGAGAGAGCGACGACGACGACGACGAGGAGAG
Molecule: ribosomal RNA, 592 nt
Filed under: uncultured bacterium
Lineage: Bacteria
Description: bacterial SSU rRNA
Rfam family: Bacterial small subunit ribosomal RNA
Source: RNAcentral